This 2474-nucleotide long non-coding RNA is filed under the name Homo sapiens (human). Its description in RNAcentral is "HSALNT0210590". Lineage: Eukaryota; Metazoa; Chordata; Mammalia; Primates; Hominidae. The record is from RNAcentral.
AGGAAAACCCCAAAGCCCUGGUUUAGGUCUGCCAACAAUGAUCUGGACCUCAAUUUCUUUUUAUUUCAUCACUGCCAAACACAGUGUGCCAAGUACAGGAAUAGUGACACUGGCUCCAAGUUUAGUGGGAGAGACCGUAAGAGGCAUAUGAACUACAAGAUCUUCAGGAAGAUCCAAAGGACUCAGUAACCUAAGGUCUCUGGCAGUUUCCACAUUCUAAGGAGCCUCCGUGCUCAGAGAAAAGCCUGGUCAAUGUGGCCUAAAAUGGACAAGGAAGACUUCAUCACAGGGUGAAACUUGAGUUGUGCUUCCAGCAGGAAAUAAAAAUCUUGGUAACAUGGAUCCACACUGACUCAAGUCUAAUUAUUUCCUAUCAAGACCCAAACGAAGACAGCACUUUCUACCUCCCUUUUUGCCAGCUCAUAUUUGAGUUCAGCAUGGAGUCAUCGUCUUGAGACAGACCGCUAAUAGUCCUGCAAUAUUCAUCGUGCCCUCCACUAUUAUUGUAACAGAGUAUGAGAGCUUCAGCUAGGUACAUGGCCACCCAGAAUAAGCACAAUUCCCUGCUGGUCAUAUGACUAAUUGCUAACCAAUAAAAUGGAAACAAAGUGACAUGUAUCUGCAGCUUCAUCCAGAGUCUCAUGUGACUGUGUCAGUGUUUCCAACUCUGACGUCUUAAAUUCAGCAAUAUCAGUAGUGAUGUUUCACACUAUGAUAAUUGGCAUAUUAUCCUGACUACAUAGCACAGAGCCUGGUCCUUCAUCCCUCCCUGAAUUCUUUGAUGCCCUUUUGUAAGCUCCUUUCUUCCUUAAAUUAGCCAGAGUUGGUUUAUGUUGCUUGCAACUGAGAACGUUGACAGAGAGAUACUAUUCUAGGCUCUAUGUAUGAAUAUACAUGUGUAGUCCCUUCCCUGUGGAAUCCUCAAGGUCCAAGUAUUAGUCGUUGUUUUAUUUCUUUAGCCCUUCCUCCCAAUGUAGAACCUGCCUAUGAGAUUAAAGUAAUGAGUCAGUUCUUAAACAAUUUUACAUCUAAGCAACUUAUACAUCUUAGGACCCCUCCAAGUAGCAAAUCUUGGCUCAUAACACACUUAUUACACUGGUAGUGCCACUGUUUAAAACUUUUUAAAAUUGUUUGAGAAUUGCCUUGUGCCUGGCACAUAAUCUUUUGUUUUAGGAAAGUAUGUGUUUAAAAUCUAAAUAUUACAAGAUGAAAAAUCUCCUUCUCAAAUUUUUUCCUUGGUUUCCUAGUUUCCAUCCCUAGAAUUCAUGUGCUUCUUAAUUCCUUUAAAUCCUUCUAGAGAUAGUAUAGGGGUGUGUGUGUGUGUGUGUGUGUGUAUGUGUGUGUGUAAAUUAUGUAUUUAUAUCCUUUUUUAGCAAAAGCAGUAAUACAUUCUUAUGUACCUAGUUAUUUCACUUAAUAUAUACCUCUGGCUCAUUCUUACUAAUGACAGAAUAGUGUUCUAAUUAACUGAUGCUCCGUAAUUACCUAACCUGUCUCCUAUUGUUGGAUAUUUAUGUUUUCUCUAAUCUUUUCCUGUUGUAGUAAAUAUUCUGUGCAAGAUUUCUUCUGUACUUUUAUGAAUGUAGCUGUGGGAUAAAUUCCAAGAAGUAUAUCCACUUGGUAAAAGGGUACAUUCAUUUAUUAUUAAUAAAUAUUUCUAAAUUACCCUAAAAAGAAAUAGUGUAAAGUACCCUCUUUUCUUUUUCCUUUUUUUCUUUUUUUUAAUUGAAACAGGGUCUUCCUCCCUUGCCCAGGCUGUGAUGCAGUGGUUGCUGUCAUGGCUCACUGCAACCUCGACCUCCCCAGCUCAAUGGAUCCGUCUGCCUCAGACUCCCAAGUAGCUGAGACUAUAGACAUGUGCCACCACACUCAGCUAAUUUUUGUACCUUUUUGUAGAGAUGGGGUUUCGCCAUGUUGCCCAGGCUGGUCUCGAACUCCUGGGCUCAAACAAUCCACCGGCCUCUGCCUCCCACAGUGCUGAGACUACAGGCAUGAGUCAUUGUGCCUGGCAAAAUUACACUCUUAUGCAAAUUUUUACCUUUUGAGAAUAGGUUUAACUUCUGAAAACUGCCCCAAGUUACUCAAAACCAAGUCUGAUGAAUAAAAGCAUGAUUUUCUUAGGUAACAACAUUCUCAGUACAGGAUGAGCUGUGACUGAAAGUAAUUAGAUGAGUUUUUUGUUAGUUUGAUUUGUAAAAUGAGUGUGAGAUAAGCUCCAAAAGGUCCAAACAUAUUUUGAGCAACAGUAGUAUCACUCAAGUAAGUGUGCUGCCUCCCAAAUGGAUACUUUUUUUUUUUUUUGAGACAGAGUCUCUCUCUGUCGCCAGGCUGGAAUGCAGUGGCGCGAUCCCAGCUCACUGCAACCUCUGACUCCCCGGUUCAAGUGAUUCUCCUGCCUCAGUCUCCCAAGUAGCUAGGAUUACAGGCAUACACCACCACGUCCAGCUAAUUUUUGUAUUUUUAGUAGAGCUGGG